GCUGUUGAAGUUCGCGGGUGCGAACUAUACUUAGCGGGCGCGAACUUGCACUGUUCAGUUCGCUGUUUUUCUAUUUAAAGACCCCUUAUUCGACCUAAACUCUUUUCCUUCGACUUUUAAAACCCUAAAACGGCUGGAGUCAUAUUCUAACUCAUUCCUAUCAACUUUCAUCUCAAUUUUAAUCCUUGGCUGAGUUGGAUUAUAUCAUUUCUGGGUUUUCUUCUUUUGAUCGUUCAAGAGACCCGUCAACUGCUCGUGCUUCGGAGUCUACGCAGGGUUAGCUGUUUGCCAAGAUUCACGUGGAUAGCAAGCAGUUUAUGAUUUGAAAGCUGGUCCACUCCGAUUCUUUUGAUUCCUCGGAGGUUUUAUGUUAUUUAAACUAGCUACUGUUUUUGAACUCUUAGACCGCAGUAGGACUAGUUUAUAUAUUAC
This is a long non-coding RNA of Mercurialis annua (annual mercury), 432 nucleotides long. RefSeq lists it as uncharacterized. Lineage: Eukaryota; Viridiplantae; Streptophyta; Magnoliopsida; Malpighiales; Euphorbiaceae. The transcript is spliced from 4 exons. The record is from RefSeq and is a predicted model, not a curated record.